This 253-nucleotide ribosomal RNA is filed under the name uncultured bacterium. RNAcentral describes it as "partial 16S ribosomal RNA". It matches the Rfam family "Bacterial small subunit ribosomal RNA", at positions 524 to 776 of the family's 1533-position model. The record is from RNAcentral.
UACGGGGGGGGCAAGCGUUGUUCGGAAUUACUGGGCGUAAAGGGCUCGUAGGUGGCCAACUAAGUCAGACGUGAAAUCCCCAGGCUUAACCUGGGAACUGCGUCUGAUACUGGAUGGCUUGAAUUCGGGAGAGGGAUGCAGAAUUCCAGGUGUAGCGGUGAAAUGCGUAGAUAUCUGGAGGAAUACCGGUGGCGAAGGCGGCAUCCUGGACCGAGAUUGACACCGAUGAGCGAAAGCUAGGGGAGCAAACGGG